GACGGUUGGCAAGUGGUAGCAAUACGACUUGUCGAUAGUGGCGAAAGGGUGCGUAACACGUGGGCAAUUUACCGCGAAGACUGGAAUAACCUGCCGAAAGGUAGGCUAAUACCGGAUGUGGUCCUCCAGGGGAAUCCUUGGUGGACUAAAGAUCUUCGGACCUGCCGCUUCAUGAUAAGCCCGCGGCCUAUCAGCUUGUUGGUGAGGUAAAAGCUCACCAAGGCUAAGACGGGUAACUGGUCUGAGAGGACGGUCGGUCACACUGGAACUGAGACACGGUCCAGACACCUACGGGUGGCAGCAGUCGAGAAUCAUUCACAAUGGGCGAAAGCCUGAUGGUGCGACGCCGCGUGGGGGAUGAAGUGCUUCGGUAUGUAAACCCCUGUCAUCUGCGAGCAAACCUUUUCGGUUAACACCUGGAAAGCUGAUAGUAGCAGAAGAGGAAGGGACGGCUAACUCUGUGCCAGCAGCCGCGGUAAUACAGAGGUCCCAAGCGUUGUUCGGAUUCACUGGGCGUAAAGGGUGCGUAGGCGGCAUGGCAAGUUUGGUGUGAAAGCUCCGAGCUCAACUCGGAAAUUGCACUGAAAACUGCCAAGCUCGAGGAUCGGAGGGGAGAGUGGAAUUCUUGGUGUAGCAGUGAAAUGCGUAGAUAUCAAGAGGAACACCGGUGGCGAAGGCGACUCUCUGGACGAUUCCUGACGCUGAGGCACGAAGGCUAGGGGAGCAAACAGGAUUAGAUACCCUGGUAGUCCUAGCAGUAAACGGUGUGCACUUGCUGUAGGAGGAUUCGACCCCUUCUGUGGCGGAGCUAACGUGUUAAGUGCACCGCCUGGGGAGUACGGUCGCAAGAUUAAAACUCAAAGAAAUUGACGGGGGCCUGCACAAGCGGUGGAGUAUGUGGCUUAAUUCGAUGCAACGCGAAGAACCUUACCUGGGUUUGACAUGUGUCUCUAAGUCUGUGAAACCGGCGAGUCCGCAAGGACAAUUUGCACAGGUGCUGCAUGGCUGUCGUCAGCUCGUGUCGUGAGAUGUUGGGUUAAGUCCCGCAACGAGCGCAACCCUUGUGUCCUGUUGCCACCCGAACUUCGGUUCGAAUGGACAGACUGCCCCGUUUAAACGGGGAGGAAGGUGGGGAUGACGUCAAGUCAGUAUGGCCCUUACGGCCAGGGCUGCACACGUACUACAAUGCCCGGCACAAAGGGAAGCAAUACCGUGAGGUGGAGCGAAUCCCAUAAAACCGGGCCCAGUUCGGAUUGUAGUCUGCAACUCGACUACAUGAAGCCGGAAUCGCUAGUAAUGGCGCAUCAGCUACGGCGCCGUGAAUACGUUCCCAGGCCUUGUACACACCGCCCGUCACAUCAUGAAAGCCGGUUGUACCCGAAGUCGCCGAGCCAACCA
RNAcentral lists this ribosomal RNA (1398 nucleotides) under uncultured prokaryote. RNAcentral's name for it is "partial 16S ribosomal RNA". It matches the Rfam family "Bacterial small subunit ribosomal RNA", at positions 65 to 1441 of the family's 1533-position model. The record is from RNAcentral.